RNAcentral lists this ribosomal RNA (483 nucleotides) under uncultured bacterium. Its description in RNAcentral is "partial 16S ribosomal RNA". It matches the Rfam family "Bacterial small subunit ribosomal RNA", at positions 28 to 507 of the family's 1533-position model. The record is from RNAcentral.
GAUGAACGCUGGCGGCGUGCCUAACACAUGCAAGUCGAACGGAGUCGUUUUGGAAAUCUCUUCGGAGAUGGAAUUCUCGACUUAGUGGCGGACGGGUGAGUAACGCGUGAGCAAUCUGCCUUUAAGAGGGGGAUAACAGUCGGAAACGGCUGCUAAUACCGCAUAAAGCAUUAAAUUCGCAUGUUUUUGAUGCCAAAGGAGCAAUCCGCUUUUAGAUGAGCUCGCGUCUGAUUAGCUAGUUGGCGGGGUAACGGCCCACCAAGGCGACGAUCAGUAGCCGGACUGAGAGGGGAAACGGCCACAUUGGGAAUGAGACACGGCACUGACUACUACGGGAGGCAGCAGGGGGGAAUAUUGCGCAAAGGGGGAAACCCUGACGAAGCAACGCCGCGUGAUUGAAGAAGGCCUUCGGGUUGUAAAGAUCUUUAAUCAGGGACGAAACAAAUGACGGUACCUGAAGAAUAAGCUCCGGCUAACUACGUG